GAUGAAGAACGUAGCGAAAUGCGAUAAGUAAUGUGAAUUGCAGAAUUCAGUGAAUCAUCGAAUCUUUGAACGCACAUUGCGCCCCCUGGUAUUCCGGGGGGCAUGCCUGUUCGAGCGUCAUUUCACCACUCAAGCCUCGCUUGGUAUUGGGCAUCGCGGUCCGCCGCGCGCCUCAAAUCGACCGGCUGGGUCUUCUGUCCCCUAAGCGUUGUGGAAACUAUUCGCUAAAGGGUGUUCGGGAGGCUACGCCGUAAAACAACCCCAUUUCUAAGGUUGACCUCGGAUCAGGUAGGAAUACCCGCUGAACUUAAGCAUAUCAAUAAGCGGAGGA
This 331-nucleotide unclassified non-coding RNA is filed under the name soil metagenome. RNAcentral describes it as "partial contains 5.8S ribosomal RNA, internal transcribed spacer 2, and large subunit ribosomal RNA". The stretch from base 1 to 120 matches the Rfam family "5.8S ribosomal RNA", at positions 35 to 154 of the family's 154-position model. The record is from RNAcentral.